GUGAAGUGGGCUGGCUCGGUAGCAACGGCAAAACCGGUUCAACCCACAACAGAAGUGCAUACUUAAAAAGCGCCCAAGCAGCAGGCAAGUGCAAGAAAAAGUCACAGAGCGCUUUCUGCGAGCAUCGUUGCUACCGCAGCGUGUCUUUUCGCUCAGCAGAUAUUAGCCAGUGAUGAUCAGGGGCCCUUCUUUUUUUGCCUCUUCCGGGGAAUAAUUUUAAAAUUAAACGGGAAUAAUCUGGGGAUAAUCGAAUCGAACAACACUUUUAGACAACCACUACAUUUGUGUUAUUCUGAAAAACAAAUUAAGGAUCAUCCCGCUGGUUUCGUUUUCGGGGCUGCGACUCUAUGCUAGCUGAGCACAAGUUGGGACACGAGCUAGGGAGCUAGCACUCGGCGUAGUUAGCCGAAAAAGGCAGCGAGGCAAGCGGUCGUCGCCUCACCCUCACCGAGCGUCUGCGAGAUGGGUUUACUGACUCAAGGUUCCCCCCUCAACUGGGAAAACACCAAGAAGUAUGCGGAUUACAUCCGAUCGCACGGCAUCAUUCAGUUCAUCAACAUUUACAACAAUUUGAAGGACCGGCAGAAGGAUGUACUCAAAUGGGGCGAUGAGGUGGAGUACAUGUUGGUGGAACUGGAUGACAAGGAUGAAAAGGUUCAACUGGUGUUGAAUGGCGAUGAAGUUUUGGAUACCCUCCAAGGCCAAGGUGAAAAGAUAAAUCCCAACCAUCCCACGCUUUGGAGGCCAGAAUAUGGCAGCUACAUGAUAGAAGGAACUCCAGGGCAGCCGUAUGGCGGCACCAUGUCGGAGUUUAACACUGUCGAGAGCAACAUGGGGAAGAGACGACGAGAGGCUUCUUCUGUCCUCAACCAAAAUGAAAUUCUCUGCACAAUCACCUCUUUUCCAAGACUGGGUUGCCCCGGUUUUACGAAGCCUGAAUAUCCGCCAACACCUUUUGAGAGUGGAGCAUCAAAGUCACUGUUUUUCCCAGAUGAAGCCAUUAACCACCACCCAAGAUUCAGCACCCUCACCAGGAACAUACGUCACAGACGAGGAGAGAAAGUCGCAAUCAAUGUACCAAUAUUCAAAGACAAGUGCACGCCAUCUCCUUUCGUGGAAACGUUUCCUGAAGAUGAUGGGGAGUCGGCAAGGGCAGCUCUGCCUGACCACAUCUAUAUGGACUGCAUGGGCUUUGGGAUGGGCAACUGCUGCCUGCAGGUUACUUUCCAAGCUUGCAGCAUCGAUGAGGCAAGAUACCUCUAUGAUCAACUUGCGACAUUCUGCCCGAUAGUGAUGGCUCUGAGCGCAGCCUCUCCCUUCUACAGAGGCCACGUGUCAGACAUCGAUUGUCGCUGGGGGGUUAUUUCUGCCUCAGUGGAUGACAGGACACAGGAGGAACGUGGCCUCAAGCCUUUAAAAAACGACAAAUAUAGAAUCUUCAAGUCAAGAUACGACUCCAUUGACAGCUACUUGUCUAACUGCGGCAACAAGUAUAACGACAUUGAUUUGACGAUCGAUGAGGACAUCUACAAUCAGCUACUGGGUGCAGGAAUUGACAAGCUGCUGGCCCAGCACAUUGCUCACCUCUUUAUCCGAGAUCCGCUGUGCGUCUAUGAGGAGAAAUUGCAACAGGACGACGAGAAUGAGUCGGACCACUUUGAGAACAUCCAGUCAACCAAUUGGCAGACGAUGAGGUUCAAACCACCUCCUCCCAACUCGGACAUCGGCUGGAGAGUUGAGUUCCGCCCGAUGGAGGUGCAGCUCACCGAUUUCGAGAACGCUGCUUAUGUGGUCUUUGUCGUCCUGCUCACCAGAGUGAUUUUGUCCUACAAACUGGACUUCCUCAUCCCUUUAUCCAAGGUGGAUGAAAACCUAAAAAUGGCACAGAAGAGAAACGCAGUGAAGGAUGGAAUGUUCUACUUCCGAAAGGACAUCUUCAAAGGAUGCAACCCAGGCCUGGAUGGCACAUCCUCGGCCCAGAACGGUUUGGAGACAGACGGAGCUAACGAGGAGUACACCCUGAUGAGCAUCGACACUAUCAUCAAUGGACAAGAGGGAGUUUUUCAAGGGCUCAUUCCUAUCCUCAAUUGCUAUCUGGAGAACAUGGAGGUUGACGUGGACACCAGGUGCACCAUUUUGAAUUACCUGAAGCUUAUCAAGAAGCGCGCCUCAGGCGAGCUGAUGACGAUGGCAAAGUGGAUGAGGGAGUUUGUGGCCAAGCAUCCCGAGUACAAUUUUAAAUAACUAGGAGGGAGUUUUUCAAGGGCUCAUUCCUAUCCUCAAUUGCUAUCUGGAGAACAUGGAGGUUGACGUGGACACCAGGUGCACCAUUUUGAAUUACCUGAAGCUUAUCAAGAAGCGCGCCUCAGGCGAGCUGAUGACGAUGGCAAAGUGGAUGAGGGAGUUUGUGGCCAAGCAUCCCGAGUACAAGCAGGACAGCGUCAUCAGCGACAAGAUCAACUACGACCUCUUUGUGAAGUUCGACAGGAUUGCCAGGGGCCAAGAACAAUGCCCGGAGCUCAUUGGGAAUCCAGUCAACAAGGUUAAGUGAGAACCUUCGCUGGCAACAUGUAUCAGACAAAACGACCAAAUAUGUGGCUCUUGUUGAAAUCGAUCCAAUGUUUAAGAUAUGAUAAAACAUUGUUUUUAAAAGCAAAACAUCUGCAGCAAUCUUAUGUACUGUACAUAUACUGUAUCAGAAUUUUCUGACUGGAAAUUAUUUUAAUAAGGUUAAGACAUGCUCAAGUUAUGUCAGAAAUGGUGUAUUUAUUUUUUUCUGGGAAUCUGGAUGACAAUGUAAAUGUAGCAGAGUUGUACAGUAGUUUUUCCCCUCCUCUCUACUGUUAAUACUGCACUUGUGCUCUUUGCAACAUUAACACAGUGUGCCGUGCUGUGUGUUUGUCUCGUUGCAUCUGUGUGCGCUUUCUUCUACUUUGGGGAUAAGCUCCGUUUGAUUUCACCAAGAUGAUCUGUUUUGACUUUACUCAGAAUUGUAGUCGCAGGAAUACAAGUGGGGGUAGUUUACAUGUGAUGCUGCUUCAAAUAAAUCUGUAUGACACA
This is an RNA transcript of Hippocampus comes (tiger tail seahorse), 3060 nucleotides long. It is a transcript of the gene named glutamate-cysteine ligase, catalytic subunit, with no coding region annotated. The record is from RefSeq and is a predicted model, not a curated record. Lineage: Eukaryota; Metazoa; Chordata; Actinopteri; Syngnathiformes; Syngnathidae. The transcript is spliced from 17 exons.